Molecule: long non-coding RNA, 1333 nt
Filed under: Bos indicus x Bos taurus (hybrid cattle)
Lineage: Eukaryota; Metazoa; Chordata; Mammalia; Artiodactyla; Bovidae
Description: lncRNA (ENSBIXG00005028104.1)
Source: RNAcentral
AUGCUAAGUUGCAAAACAGAAGAACGAGAAGGGCGACUCUGGUCUGGGGAGUCCCUGGGGCUGGCUGUUCGUGAGAAUACUCUCAAAGGGGCUCACCUCCCUCCAGAGGGCCAAGGACAACUGAGCUGGAGAAUGAAAAUGAAAGUGAAAAAGUCACUCAGUCGUGUCUCUCUUUGCGACCCCAUGGACUGUAGCCUGCCAAGGUCCUUCGUCCAUGGAAUUUCCCAGGCAAGAGUUCUGGAGUGGAUUUCCAUUUCCUUCUCCAGGGUAUCUUCCCGACCCAGGGAUCGAACCCCGGUGUCCCGCCUUGCAGGCAGACGUGUUAUCGUCUGAGCCACCAGGGAAGCCCCCCUGGAGAAUACUAGUGCCCAUUCCACCCUCGAGGGACAGCUUGAAAGGGAAGUGUUCCAGGAACCAGGCCCAGAGCCUAAUUGGGUUGUGACCGAGCACUCCAGCUUGAUUCCUUGGACAUAGCUACUCUCAGCCUCAUUGGAGGGUGCCACAUUCAGGCCUUGGCUUACGAGAUGGCCCUGCUAAGCUCAUAACACUUUCCCUGGGCUCCUGCCUUAGGAAGGGGACAUGUCAGGAGCUGUAGUUUCAGGCACCUUUCCUGGGAUUUCAAAUGAGACCCAACUCGGGGGGCAGGAUUUGGAAUCCCGUGGGCUGUUUGGCCCACACACCUCCCCUUGGGCCACCGUUGCUGUUGCCAUUAUUUUUAACUAGUGGGGCAAUCACUGUACCCCUUUGCACAGCUUUCAUCUGGAGAAUCUUAAAGCUCUUUACCACCAUUCCAUUCCAUCACAGCCCUUUUUAGCAACAAUCUUUUUUUUUUUUUUUUUUUGCAUUCCAAACUAUAAAAACAAAAUUCUUGGUGAGGCAAGCAGACUCCCUUCAGCCAACUAAAGGACACUCCUUGGGUAGGGAAACUCCUGCCCAUUCACUUGGGAUGGCUUUAGCUCACAUCUGCCUGAUACAUGCAAAUUCUGAGCCUGCUCUGAGCCAGCCUCUUGGGUUCCAAGCUCUUCUCUUAAAGGGAGAGUUGGACUUGAUCUGCUUCUUUUGUCUUUAGCUAAUUCCCGUUUUAUCAUUUAACAGUCUAAAUUUAGUUCAGCACUCCAUCUUCAUAGUUCUGCUUUCCAAUGUGCCAUCAGGAACAGAAGUAACUUUGAGUGGGAGGCAUUCGAGAGGGGUGGUGUGGGGCCUGGGCCAGUAGGUAGGAGGAGGGGCUGCUGUAUUAGCAGAGCUGGCUUCUGACACUUCUAGGUUGGCCUCAGACACAGAACAGACCCAAGUACCACAGAAUCCCUCUGAUCCAACUGAACAGAGGUUUAGA